Molecule: small nuclear RNA, 107 nt
Organism: Chlorocebus sabaeus (green monkey)
Lineage: Eukaryota; Metazoa; Chordata; Mammalia; Primates; Cercopithecidae
Source: Ensembl
CAUUUUUCUUUUAAAAUUGGAACAAUAAAAUUGGAACAAUACAGAGACGAUUAGCAUGGCCCUUGCGCAGGGAUGACACACAAAUUCUUGAAGCGUUCCAUAUUUUU